GAUGAACGCUGGCGGCGUGCUUAACACAUGCAAGUCGAACGAGAAGUGAAGACGGAACCCUUCGGGCGGAAGGCUUUAUUUCGAGUGGCGGACGGGUGAGUAACGCGUGGGUAACCUGCCUCAUACAGGGGGAUAACAGUUGGAAACGACUGUUAAUACCGCAUAAGACCACAGCACCGCAUGGUGCGGGGGUAAAAACUCCGGUGGUAUGAGAUGGACCCGCGUUCGAUUAGCCAGUUGGCGGGGUAACGGCCCACCAAAGCGACGAUCGAUAGCCGAUCUGAGAGGAUGACCGGCCACAUUGGGAAUGAGACACGGCCCAAACUCCUACGGGAGGCAGCAGUGGGGAAUAUUGCACAAUGGGGGAAACCCUGAUGCAGCGACGCCGCGUGAGUGAAGAAGUAUUUCGGUAUGUAAAGCUCUAUCAGCAGGGAAGAAAAUGACGGUACCUGAGUAAGAAGCCCCGGCUAACUACGUG
This 478-nucleotide ribosomal RNA is filed under the name uncultured bacterium. RNAcentral describes it as "partial 16S ribosomal RNA". It matches the Rfam family "Bacterial small subunit ribosomal RNA", at positions 28 to 507 of the family's 1533-position model. The record is from RNAcentral.